RNAcentral lists this transfer RNA (59 nucleotides) under Taenia serialis. Its description in RNAcentral is "tRNA-Ser (UCN)". Lineage: Eukaryota; Metazoa; Platyhelminthes; Cestoda; Cyclophyllidea; Taeniidae. The record is from RNAcentral.
ACUUAUGAAUUAUGUUUGAUUUGAAAUCAAGUUGAUUGCUUUUGUUAGCAACAUAGGUU